GACGAACGCUGGCGGCGUGCCUAAUACAUGCAAGUAGAACGCUGAAGAGAGGAGCUUGCUCUUCUUGGAAGAGUUGCGAACGGGUGAGUAACGCGUAGGUAACCUGCCUUGUAGCGGGGGAUAACUAUUGGAAACGAUAGCUAAUACCGCAUAACAAUGGGUGACCCAUGUCAUUCAUUUAAAAGGGGCAACUGCUCCACUACAAGAUGGACCUGCGUUGUAUUAGCUAGUAGGUGAGGUAACGGCUCACCUAGGCGACGAUACAUAGCCGACCUGAGAGGGUGAUCGGCCACACUGGGACUGAGACACGGCCCAGACUCCUACGGGAGGCAGCAGUAGGGAAUCUUCGGCAAUGGGGGCAACCCUGACCGAGCAACGCCGCGUGAGUGAAGAAGGUUUUCGGAUCGUAAAGCUCUGUUGUAAGUCAAGAACGAGUGUGAGAGUGGAAAGUUCACACUGUGACGGUAGCUUACCAGAAAGGGACGGCUAACUACGUGCCAGCAGCCGCGGUAAUACGUAGGUCCCGAGCGUUGUCCGGAUUUAUUGGGCGUAAAGCGAGCGCAGGCGGUUUGAUAAGUCUGAAGUUAAAGGCUGUGGCUCAACCAUAGUUUGCUUUGGAAACUGUCAAACUUGAGUGCAGAAGGGGAGAGUGGAAUUCCAUGUGUAGCGGUGAAAUGCGUAGAUAUAUGGAGGAACACCGGUGGCGAAAGCGGCUCUCUGGUCUGUAACUGACGCUGAGGCUCGAAAGCGUGGGGAGCGAACAGG
RNAcentral lists this ribosomal RNA (765 nucleotides) under uncultured Streptococcus sp. RNAcentral describes it as "bacterial SSU rRNA". It matches the Rfam family "Bacterial small subunit ribosomal RNA", at positions 28 to 776 of the family's 1533-position model. Lineage: Bacteria; Bacillati; Bacillota; Bacilli; Lactobacillales; Streptococcaceae. The record is from RNAcentral.